This is a non-coding RNA of Delphinapterus leucas (beluga whale), 344 nucleotides long. NCBI's taxonomy places the organism in Eukaryota, Metazoa, Chordata, Mammalia, Artiodactyla, Monodontidae. The record is from RefSeq and is a predicted model, not a curated record.
AGAACAUUGGGUGAUGGAUGGUGUCAAGGAUGUUUCACAACAGCCGCUCAGGUGGCCUGUGAACCAAACCACCCUCUUACUGGUGAUGCUGUUCAUGGACCAGUUUGCUAAUGUUUCUCAGAUCCAGUGACCCUCCGCCUGGAUGUUGCAGACAAUGAGAGUGUUAACUAGAAGAGAGCGCUCCAGCACCAGUGAACCCGCCGGAAGUGGACAAGCUCAUUUGCAGCCAGGGACAUGUAUACUGUUCAUUCUAAAGAAGAAGGAUGCAAGUGGUCCCUUCUCCGCUGAUCCACUGAGUAUUUUUUAAGAAAAGCCAGUGCGUUCCCAGGCAAAGUUAAAAAGGU